AGAUAGGCUUGUUUCAUGUGCAUGGAAAACGUAACUGAUGUGCACAGAGAAUCUGUGGCCUGACUAGGCACUAUACGUGCUGUGGUAGGAUCUGAAAAACUUUGAGAGGACUUUGCCCUAUACAGCAGCUACAGGUGGAAAAAGUGAAAUUCAAAAAAAGGCCAAAAUUCAUUCUAUCAUUCAACAGUCAUUUCCUGGUUGUGUGUACUUUUUUU
Molecule: long non-coding RNA, 215 nt
Organism: Myotis daubentonii (Daubenton's bat)
Lineage: Eukaryota; Metazoa; Chordata; Mammalia; Chiroptera; Vespertilionidae
Source: RefSeq, a predicted model, not a curated record